This 85-nucleotide transfer RNA is filed under the name Holosporales bacterium. RNAcentral describes it as "tRNA-Leu". It matches the Rfam family "tRNA". Rfam says of the family: Transfer RNA (tRNA) molecules are approximately 80 nucleotides in length. Lineage: Bacteria; Pseudomonadati; Pseudomonadota; Alphaproteobacteria; Holosporales. The record is from RNAcentral.
GCGGGCGUGGUGGAAUUGGCAGACACGCUAGACUUAGGAUCUAGUGACUUAGGUCAUGGGGGUUCAAGUCCCUCCGUCCGCACCA